GACGAACGCUGGCGGCGUGCCUAAUACAUGCAAGUUGAGCGCUGAAGGUUGGUACUUGUACCAACUGGAUGAGCAGCGAACGGGUGAGUAACGCGUGGGGAAUCUGCCUUUGAGCGGGGGACAACAUUUGGAAACGAAUGCUAAUACCGCAUAAAAACUUUAAACACAAGUUUUAAGUUUGAAAGAUGCAAUUGCAUCACUCAAAGAUGAUCCCGCGUUGUAUUAGCUAGUUGGUGAGGUAAAGGCUCACCAAGGCGAUGAUACAUAGCCGACCUGAGAGGGUGAUCGGCCACAUUGGGACUGAGACACGGCCCAAACUCCUACGGGAGGCAGCAGUAGGGAAUCUUCGGCAAUUGACGAAAGUCUGACCGAGCAACGCCGCGUGAGUGAAGAAGGGUUUCGGAUCGUAAAACUCUGUUGGUAGAGAAGAACGUUGGUGAGAGUGGAAAGCUCAUCAAGUGACGGUAACUACACAGAAAGGGACGGCUAACUACGUG
RNAcentral lists this ribosomal RNA (497 nucleotides) under uncultured bacterium. RNAcentral's name for it is "partial 16S ribosomal RNA". It matches the Rfam family "Bacterial small subunit ribosomal RNA", at positions 28 to 507 of the family's 1533-position model. The record is from RNAcentral.